Molecule: ribosomal RNA, 267 nt
Filed under: uncultured prokaryote
Description: partial 16S ribosomal RNA
Rfam family: Bacterial small subunit ribosomal RNA
Source: RNAcentral
UACGUAGGUGGCGAGCGUUGUCCGGAAUUACUGGGUGUAAAGGGAGCGUAGGCGGACUUUUAAGUGAGAUGUGAAAUACCCGGGCUCAACUUGGGUGCUGCAUUUUACAAACUGGAAGUCUAGAGUGCAGGAGAGGAGAAUGGAAUUCCUAGUGUAGCGGUGAAAUGCGUAGAGAUUAGGAAGAACACCAGUGGCGAAGGCGAUUCUCUGGACUGUAACUGACGCUGAGGCUCGAAAGCGUGGGGAGCAAACAGGAUUAGAUACCCU